This 997-nucleotide ribosomal RNA is filed under the name uncultured bacterium. RNAcentral describes it as "bacterial SSU rRNA". It matches the Rfam family "Bacterial small subunit ribosomal RNA", at positions 9 to 1004 of the family's 1533-position model. The record is from RNAcentral.
GAGUUUGAUCUGGCUCAGAUUGAACGCUGGCGGCAGGCUUAACACAUGCAAGUCGAGCGGGGAAAGGUAGCUUGCUACUGGACCUAGCGGCGGACGGGUGAGUAAUGCUUAGGAAUCUGCCUAUUAGUGGGGGACAACAUUCCGAAAGGAAUGCUAAUACCGCAUACGUCCUACGGGAGAAAGCAGGGGACCUUCGGGCCUUGCGCUAAUAGAUGAGCCUAAGUCGGAUUAGCUAGUUGGUGGGGUAAAGGCCUACCAAGGCGACGAUCUGUAGCGGGUCUGAGAGGAUGAUCCGCUACACUGGGACUGAGACACGGCCCAGACUCCUACGGGAGGCAGCAGUGGGGAAUAUUGGACAAUGGGGGGAACCCUGAUCCAGCCAUGCCGCGUGUGUGAAGAAGGCCUUAUGGUUGUAAAGCACUUUAAGCGAGGAGGAGGCUACUAGUAUUAAUACUACUGGAUAGUGGACGUUACUCGCAGAAUAAGCACCGGCUAACUCUGUGCCAGCAGCCGCGGUAAUACAGAGGGUGCGAGCGUUAAUCGGAUUUACUGGGCGUAAAGCGUGCGUAGGCGGCCAUUUAAGUCAAAUGUGAAAUCCCCGAGCUUAACUUGGGAAUUGCAUUCGAUACUGGAUGGCUAGAGUAUGGGAGAGGAUGGUAGAAUUCCAGGUGUAGCGGUGAAAUGCGUAGAGAUCUGGAGGAAUACCGAUGGCGAAGGCAGCCAUCUGGCCUAAUACUGACGCUGAGGUACGAAAGCAUGGGGAGCAAACAGGAUUAGAUACCCUGGUAGUCCAUGCCGUAAACGAUGUCUACUAGCCGUUGGGGCCUUUGAGGCUUUAGUGGCGCAGCUAACGCGAUAAGUAGACCGCCUGGGAGUACGGUCGCAAGACUAAAACUCAAUGAAUUGACGGGGGCCCGCACAAGCGUGGAGCAUGUGUUUAAUUCGAUGCAACGCGAAGAACCCUUACCUGGUCUUGACAUACUAGAAACCUUUCCAG